Molecule: ribosomal RNA, 464 nt
Filed under: Vreelandella stevensii
Lineage: Bacteria; Pseudomonadati; Pseudomonadota; Gammaproteobacteria; Oceanospirillales; Halomonadaceae
Description: partial 16S ribosomal RNA
Rfam family: Bacterial small subunit ribosomal RNA
Source: RNAcentral
CCUACGGUGGGCUGCAGUGGGGAAUAUUGGACAAUGGGCGAAAGCCUGAUCCAGCCAUGCCGCGUGUGUGAAGAAGGCCUUCGGGUUGUAAAGCACUUUCAGUGGGGAAGAAAGCCUUGGGGCUAAUACCCUCGAGGAAGGACAUCACCCACAGAAGAAGCACCGGCUAACUCCGUGCCAGCAGCCGCGGUAAUACGGAGGGUGCGAGCGUUAAUCGGAAUUACUGGGCGUAAAGCGCGCGUAGGCGGUCUGAUAAGCCGGUUGUGAAAGCCCCGGGCUCAACCUGGGAACGGCAUCCGGAACUGUCAGGCUAGAGUGCAGGAGAGGAAGGUAGAAUUCCCGGUGUAGCGGUGAAAUGCGUAGAGAUCGGGAGGAAUACCAGUGGCGAAGGCGGCCUUCUGGACUGACACUGACGCUGAGGUGCGAAAGCGUGGGUAGCAAACAGGAUUAGAUACCGGGUAGUC